AAGUCGUAACAAGGUUUCCGUAGGUGAACCUGCGGAAGGAUCAUUAACAAAUCCAACUCUGCACAGGAGCGAACAAAAUUGUGAUGCGGAAACGCUACACAAAGUUUUUUCCUGUGCGCUUGCGAAAGCUGUGUCUUUAGGGAUUCAUUUCUCUAUCGACGCGUAACAAACAAGCAACCUGGGGUACUUUAAGGUAGAGCGCUUCAUUGUGCUUUGUCUUAGAGCCCUUCUAAUAAUCCCUUUUUUUACCAUUUUACCCCUUAUAAACUAUAAGACUGAUAUGACAUGAUAAAUGUCGAAUACAAAAACUAUAAAACAACUCUUAACAAUGGAUAUCUAGGCUCUG
RNAcentral lists this unclassified non-coding RNA (346 nucleotides) under fungal sp. RNAcentral's name for it is "partial internal transcribed spacer region". The stretch from base 1 to 46 matches the Rfam family "Eukaryotic small subunit ribosomal RNA", at positions 1786 to 1831 of the family's 1831-position model. Lineage: Eukaryota; Fungi. The record is from RNAcentral.